GAAAAAGGGAGAAGGUUUGGAUCCAUUAAAACGUUUAAUCCCGUUGCAAAUGUUUGCACCUGUCCUAAGUCAGGAAUGUGAUGUACAGUACUUGUCGUUUGUUUAUGUAAUUUAUACGUGUUUCUCGUGUCUCGUUUUUUUAAAAUUUUUAUAUAGAUUAGACCGUUGGUUUUCCCGUUUGAAUGGUUUUACACUAGUAAUUUUGGG
This 207-nucleotide long non-coding RNA is filed under the name Mytilus galloprovincialis (Mediterranean mussel). The record is from RNAcentral. Lineage: Eukaryota; Metazoa; Mollusca; Bivalvia; Mytilida; Mytilidae.